GAAAGUAAAUAAGGGCGUAUGGGGAAUGCCUAGGCUCUUGGAGGCGAAGAAAGACGUGGUAAGCUGCGAAAAGCUCCGGGGAUUUGCAAACAAGAUUUGAUCCGGAGAUUUCUGAAUGGGACAACCCGUCAGGUAGAAGACCUGACACAUCGCAAGAUGGGCCAACCCUCUGAACUGAAACAUCUUAGUAGGAGGAGGAAAAGAAAGAAACAUCGAUUUCCUGAGUAGCGGCGAGCGAAAGGGAAAAAGCCUAAACCGGUAUUGUUACGGCAAUGCCGGGGUUGUAGGACUGCAAUAUUCAAGUAACAAUGAACUGGAACGAUCUGGAAAGUUCGUCCAUAGAGGGUGAAAGGCCCGUACAGGUAAGUUCGUUAUGCGAUAGCAGUAUCCUGAGUAGGGCGGGACACGAGGAAUCCUGUCUGAAUCUGCCGGGACCACCCGGUAAGGCUAAAUACUCCCAAGAGACCGAUAGUGAACCAGUACCGUGAGGGAAAGGUGAAAAGAACCCCGAACAGGGGAGUGAAAUAGAACCUGAAACCAUACGCUUACAACCGGUCGGAGCAGUUUCGUGCUGUGACGGCGUGCCUAUUGAAUAAUGAGCCUACGAGUUACUAAUCACUGGCGAGGUUAAGUGCACGGAUGCACGGAGCCGAAGCGAAAGCGAGUCUGAACAGGGCGGCUAGUCAGUGGUUGUAGACGCGAAACCUUGCGAUCUACCCUUGAGCAGGUUGAAGGUUGGGUAAAACCAACUGGAGGACCGAACGAAUAAGCGUUGAAAAGCUUCUCGAUGACUUGAGGGUAGGGGUGAAAGGCUAAUCAAGCUGGGAAAUAGCUCGUACUCCCCGAAAUGCCUUUUGGGGCAGCGUUGUAAUAAAGAGUCUACUGGAGGUAGAGCUACUGAUUGGAUGCGGGGGCUUCACCGCCUACCAAAUCCUGACAAACUCCGAAUGCCAGUAGUAUGAUUUACAGCAGUGAGUGACUGGGUGCUAAUGUCCAGUCGCAAAAGAGGAACAACUCAGACCAGCAACUAAGGUCCCGAAGAAUAUGCUAAGUUGAUCUAACGAUGUUUUGUUGCAGAGACAGCUAGGAUGUUAGCUUGGAAGCAGCUAUUCAUUCAAAGAGUGCGUAACAGCUCACUAGUCGAGCGACAGAGCGUGGAUAAUAAACGGGCAUCAAGCAUAUCACCGAAGUUCUGGGCGCGAGAGCGCGGUAGGGGAGCAUUCCAUUCAGCGUCGAAGCAGUUUCGUGAGGAAUUGUGGAGCGUAUGGAAAAGCAAAUGUAGGCAUGAGUAACGAUAAUGCGGGAGAGUAACCCGCACACCGCAAGACCAAGGUUUCCUGAUCAACGCUAAUCGGAUCAGGGUUAGUCGGGUCCUAAGGGUAAGCCGAACGGCGAUCUCGAUGGAUAAUCGGUUAAUAUUCCGAUACUAACAUAUACCUCGAUGGAGAGACGAAGGAACGUAAGUGCCGCCACCUGACGGAAUAGGUGGUUAAAGGGCGUAGAUAUAGGGGCAGAUUAAGAGUUAGUCCUUGCUGAAACCUGACAGUACAGAGAGCCUACGGGCAAUUUGAUAGAGCACCCAAGUCGACUUCCGAGAAAAUCUUCUAAGUUAUAGUAUAUGUUACCCGUACCGUAAACCGACACAGGUGGUCGAGGAGAGUAUCCUAAGGUGCUCGAGUGAAUCACGGUUAAGGAACUAGGCAAAUUAACCCCGUAACUUCGGGAAAAGGGGUCCCUAUGAAAGUAGGGCGCAGCGAAGAGGUCCAGGCGACUGUUUAUCAAAAACACAGGGCUCUGCAAAUUCGAAAGAAGACGUAUAGGGCCUGACACCUGCCCGGUGCUGGAAGGUUAAGAGGGGAUGUCAUCGCAAGAGAAGCAUUGAAUCGAAGCCCCAGUAAACGGCGGCCGUAACUAUAACGGUCCUAAGGUAGCGAAAUUCCUUGUCGGGUAAGUUCCGACCUGCACGA
This 1967-nucleotide ribosomal RNA is filed under the name human gut metagenome. Its description in RNAcentral is "bacterial LSU rRNA". It matches the Rfam family "Bacterial large subunit ribosomal RNA", at positions 1 to 1995 of the family's 2925-position model. The record is from RNAcentral.